CAGGGAGACAACAAAAUGUUUAAUAUUAUUAUUUUGUCACCUUAGGUCGAUCGGUAUCUCACAUUCUUAAUUUAUUAAGGAUUUUAUUUCCUAAGUUUUUUCUAGGUCACACCCAUUACUUUUCCUGGGCCAUUAGCUCAGGUGGUUAGAGCGCACCCCUGAUAAGGGUGAGGUCCCUGGUUCAAGUCCAGGAUGGCCCAUAUCUCUAUGUUGGGGGUAUAGCUCAGUUGGUAGAGCGCCUGCUUUGCAAGCAGGAUGUCAGCGGUUCGAGUCCGCUUACCUCCACUGAUUACCACCUCUUCCAUAAUCUGUAGAAAGGAAAUUUUUUGAGUUGUGAUCAACUUCUGAACGAAUCUAGCUUCCUAAUGAAAGCAUUAAGAUGCUGGACUCAUUGAAUUAAUUUCAUUGUUUUCAGAGAACCUUGACAACUGCAUAGAUUAUUUUUAAAGACAAUAAGCAUUUUUAAUGAUGCAGAUUUAUUAUUUGUGCAAAUGCAUUAAUAACAAUUCUAUUAAGCUGAUGCUUCAAUUUUGAAGUUAUU
This 541-nucleotide transfer RNA is filed under the name uncultured cyanobacterium. RNAcentral's name for it is "partial 16S-23S ribosomal RNA intergenic spacer". The stretch from base 213 to 285 matches the Rfam family "tRNA". Lineage: Bacteria; Bacillati; Cyanobacteriota. The record is from RNAcentral.